AUAAGUAUGCGAUUUAAACAAAGCAGUAGUGCAAAUCACAAAAUUUUCAUAAUAUAUGCAUAUGAAACCGUGCCCCCCGGCAUGCCGUGGUCCAUUCUCUCGGAUGCUACUGCGAAGUCCAUUCGGCCACUGGCGGGGCCAGCUAGUCAUUCUCGGCCACUAGCAAGGCCAGCGAAGUUAUUCUCGGCCACUAGCAAGGCCAGCUCAGUUGCAUUCGAUCAAUAGCAUCUUUGAG
RNAcentral lists this long non-coding RNA (235 nucleotides) under Phoenix dactylifera (date palm). Its description in RNAcentral is "long non-coding RNA (PDAC_LNC017593)". Lineage: Eukaryota; Viridiplantae; Streptophyta; Magnoliopsida; Arecales; Arecaceae. The record is from RNAcentral.